This 253-nucleotide ribosomal RNA is filed under the name uncultured bacterium. RNAcentral describes it as "partial 16S ribosomal RNA". It matches the Rfam family "Bacterial small subunit ribosomal RNA", at positions 524 to 776 of the family's 1533-position model. The record is from RNAcentral.
UACGUAGGGGGCGAGCGUUGUCCGGAGUUACUGGGCGUAAAGGGCAUGCAGGCGGUCGGACGCGUUUUGUGUGACAGCGGGUGGCUCAACUACGCGAGCAUACGAAAGACGGUUUGACUUGAGGGCUCGAGAGGGACACGGAAUUCCGGGUGGAGUGGUGAAAUGCGUAGAUAUCGGGAGGAACACCUGCGGCGAAGGCGGCUUCCUGGACUGCAACUGACGCUGAGGCGCGAAAGCUAGGGGAGCAAACAGG